AGUCACUUUAGCUGAUACAGCCAUCACAAUUUGUGUAUAGACAAUCAUGUGAACACGUUGAGGGUGUGCGGCCAGAAUGUUGAGUUUUAAAAUAAAGUUGUGUGCAUUAUUUUUCAUCUGUCAUAUGGUAGCAUCAGAAGACAUACAGAAUACUCCAAAUGUAUGGUACAUUGAGCCAACAAUUAAUCGAAACGCUUAUGGCGCUACCGUUGCGUAUUCUUUGAACGGUACAUCAUGGUUAUUGGACUUAACGGACGUUGCACUGAAUAAAGUGCCAAUAGUGUACAAUAAAAAUGGCGUUAUAACAGAAGACACAAUCAAGGUUCAGAAUUGUUCUGUACAGACAACGGGAAAUCUGCCUAUAUUUCAACAAUUAGAAUAUUUGAAUAAUGUAACCAGAAGCACUCAACUCGAUGAAUCACACGAUUCAAUCAAACAGUCAAACGUGUCAUUAUGUAACGAUAAAACCAAAUGGAUGUUAACUGAAGGCCAAGAUUCUUACGUGUUCAUAGUUUUUAAUAAAUCUAAUCAAAGUGAUCAGUCAGUUCCGAAAGAGUUAGUUUAUGGCUUAAGUGCAGUCUCUUUUCUAUUACUGUUGUUGUCGUCCUGUUUGAUUUAUUGCAAGUGUGCAUCACCUUCGGCGUCCGGGAUGGAAGACUAUCAUAUUGUUGAUAUUUGCCUGACGGGCUGUUGUAAAUUUUAGAAAUCCCUCGUUUGUAAUAAAAUAAUUCAACUUUUGUUGAAGCA
Molecule: long non-coding RNA, 747 nt
Organism: Culex quinquefasciatus (southern house mosquito)
Lineage: Eukaryota; Metazoa; Arthropoda; Insecta; Diptera; Culicidae
Exons: 4
Source: RefSeq, a predicted model, not a curated record